AAUAUGUGACUAGGGGGGCAACCCUGAUCCAGCCAUGCCGCGUGUGUGAAGAAGGNCUNNGGAUUNUNAAUCACUUUAAGUAGNNNNNAAGGGCUUUAGGCUAAUACCCUGAAGUUUUGACAUCACCACCAGAAUAAGUACCGGCUAACUGUGACCUUGCAGCCGCGGUAAUACAGAGGGUGCAUGCGUUAAUCGGAAUUACUGGGCGUAAAGCGCGAGUAGGUGGUUCAGUAAGAUGGGUGUGAAAUCCCCGGGCUUAACCCGGGAACUGCUUUCAUAACUGCUGAGCUAGAGUACGGUAGAGGGUAGUGGAAUUUCCUGUGUAGCGGUGAAAUGCGUAGAUAUAGGAAGGAACACCAGUGGCGAAGGCGACUACCUGGACUGAUACUGACACUGAGGUGCGAAAGCGUGGGGAGCAAAC
Molecule: ribosomal RNA, 421 nt
Filed under: uncultured bacterium
Lineage: Bacteria
Description: partial 16S ribosomal RNA
Rfam family: Bacterial small subunit ribosomal RNA
Source: RNAcentral